GAUGAACGCUAGCUACAGGCUUAACACAUGCAAGUCGAGGGGCAGCACUAGGUAGCAAUACUGAGGUGGCGACCGGCGCACGGGUGCGUAACGCGUAUCCAACCUUCCCGAUACUCUUGGAUAGCCUUCCGAAAGGGAGAUUAAUACAAGAUGGUGUUUCACUUUCGCAUGUUAUUGAAACUAAAGAUUUAUCGGUAUCGGAUGGGGAUGCGUGACAUUAGAUAGUAGGCGGGGUAACGGCCCACCUAGUCUACGAUGUCUAGGGGUUCUGAGAGGAAGGUCCCCCACACUGGAACUGAGACACGGUCCAGACUCCUACGGAAGGCAGCAGUGAGGAAUAUUGGUCAAUGGUCGGAAGACUGAACCAGCCAAGUAGCGUGAAGGAUGAAGGUUCUAUGGAUUGUAAACUUCUUUUAUACGGGAAUAAAACCUCCACGUGUGGGAGCUUGUAUGUACCGUAUGAAUAAGCAUCGGCUAACUCCGUGCUAGCAGCCGCGGUAAUGUCG
RNAcentral lists this ribosomal RNA (506 nucleotides) under uncultured bacterium. RNAcentral's name for it is "bacterial SSU rRNA". It matches the Rfam family "Bacterial small subunit ribosomal RNA", at positions 28 to 527 of the family's 1533-position model. The record is from RNAcentral.